This 465-nucleotide ribosomal RNA is filed under the name uncultured bacterium. RNAcentral describes it as "partial 16S ribosomal RNA". It matches the Rfam family "Bacterial small subunit ribosomal RNA", at positions 28 to 507 of the family's 1533-position model. The record is from RNAcentral.
GACGAACGCUGGCGGCGUGCUUAACACAUGCAAGUCGUACGGUAAGGCCCUUUCGGGGGUACACGAGUGGCGAACGGGUGAGUAACACGUGAGUAACCUGCCCACAACUUUGGGAUAAUGCUAGGAAACUGGUGCUAAUACUGGAUAUGUGCUCCUGCUGCAUGGUGGGGGUUGGAAAGCUCCGGCGGUUGUGGAUGGACUCGCGGCCUAUCAGCUUGUUGGUGGGGUAGUGGCCUACCAAGGCGGCGACGGGUAGCCGGCCUGAGAGGGUGACCGGCCACAUUGGGACUGAGAUACGGCCCAGACUCCUACGGGAGGCAGCAGUGGGGAAUAUUGCACAAUGGGCGCAAGCCUGAUGCAGCAACGCCGCGUGCGGGAGGACGGCCUUCGGGUUGUAAACCGCUUUCAGCAGGGACGAAGCUUUUUGUGACGGUACCUGCAGAAGAAGCACCGGCUAACUACGUG